RNAcentral lists this ribosomal RNA (603 nucleotides) under Agyrium rufum. RNAcentral describes it as "SSU rRNA". It matches the Rfam family "Eukaryotic small subunit ribosomal RNA", at positions 226 to 835 of the family's 1831-position model. The record is from RNAcentral. Lineage: Eukaryota; Fungi; Ascomycota; Lecanoromycetes; Pertusariales; Pertusariaceae.
AUGCCCUUCGGGGCUCCUUGGNGAUUCAUAAUAACUUAACGAAUCGCAUGGCCUUGCGCCGGCNAUGGUUCAUUCAAAUUUCUGCCCUAUCAACUUUCGAUGGUAAUGUANNGGAUUACCAUGGUGUCAACGGGUAACGGGGAAUUAGGGUUCGAUUCCGGAGAGGGAGCCUGAGAAACGGCUACCACAUCCAAGGAAGGCAGCAGGCGCGCAAAUUACCCAAUCCCGAUACGGGGAGGUAGUGACAAUAAAUACUGAUACAGGGCUCUUUUGGGUCUUGUAAUUGGAAUGAGUACAAUUUAAAUCCCUUAACGAGGAACAAUUGGAGGGCAAGUCUGGUGCCAGCAGCCGCGGUAAUUCCAGCUCCAAUAGCGUAUAUUAAAGUUGUUGCAGUUAAAAAGCUCGUAGUUGAACCUUGGGCCUGGCUGUCCGGUCCGCCUCACCGCGUGCACUGGCUCGGCCGGGCCUUUCCUCCUGGGGAACGGNAUGCCCUUCAUUGGGUGUGUCCGGGAUCCAGGACUUUUACUUUGAAAAAAUUAGAGUGUUCAAAGCAGGCAUAUGCUCGAAUACAUUAGCAUGGAAUAAUGGAAUAGGACGGUGGUU